Solenopsis invicta (red fire ant) is the source of this 2479-nucleotide long non-coding RNA. RefSeq lists it as uncharacterized. The transcript is spliced from 2 exons. NCBI's taxonomy places the organism in Eukaryota, Metazoa, Arthropoda, Insecta, Hymenoptera, Formicidae. The record is from RefSeq and is a predicted model, not a curated record.
AAAAUUUUUUCCAGGAAAGUACACACAUUACCGAUCGAUCAUCCAUGACGUUAUGGAUCAUUUGUGGUAUCAAUUCGGCGGUGCGUGGCGCUGUUAUAGUAGCGAAGCAUCGCGGGUGGCGGGCGGACGUGUAGCGGAUCGCGGAUCGAUUUCGAUCGAUGUCGCGUUUCAUCGGUAGAUCCACAGAAAGCUUAAUUCCGACAAUCGUGCGACGAGGACCCGCCGCGAUAUGCGUGGUCGUGGACGGUGGGCCAGUAGCCGACGGGACAGGAGUCGACUGUUGCCCGUCGAACAGUCAGUGAAGCGGGCGUAGUGGCUACGCAUUUCGGAGGGAGCAAACGGUGUAUCUCUCGCCGCGUGUGUCUCACAGCCACAGUUCGUAAAUGUUUAUGUGCAGUGAACUGAGUGUUUGUACGGCGACGAUCGUCCUGAGACGUGUGUGUUGACUCUUCGCCGGGCGAUGAAAUGAGUGAAAAUGACUGCCAUAUUCUGCCAUGGUCGUUUCCCGCCCGAUUUCUCCGUCCCGUGAAUCGAGAAGUUUGGCAUCGACGAGCCUCUCUGAUCUUUCUCGCAGCAAACUUCGUACGCGUACUUCUUCGCGUGACGUCAUCAAUGUCGCGAGUGGAUCUCUUUGUACGUACGUCCGUGUUUUUGUGAGUAAUCUACAGUGAAAUAACGUUCGGACGAGACAGCGAGAUCGCUCGGAGACGCGCGCGUUGUUUGUUGUUGUCGCGCGACGGCAUGGAGGUUAAGGUUAAUCAACCCGCGCGAAUCGCCACAAGCUCCAUCCGGCCAACGCAUCACGCAUCGCGCACUAGCUCGCGUGUUAUCAUUAUCAAUGAUUUCGAACGGCUUUUUACGCGCAAUUCCGAGUUUUCGUAUGCGAAACGUUCCAACGGAACAUCGAUCUACGCAUUCGUAUCUGGAUCAUAACCUCGCGCGGACGUGUAUCCUUUCGCUACGUGGUGAUGUCGUUUCGCCGGUGGUGUCGUCAAUAAAGUGUCGCGCGUUAUUUUGGUAAUUAGCGCGCGAUCAUAAUUAAUCUCCCGUUCGCGAGUGUUAUGGUGUUAAGUGUGCAUUAAUUGGAUCUGAGAGGAGGCGGAGGCCUGGGAGGCAUCGAGCAACGAGGGAACAACUCUGUGAUCAACUCCUGCGUUACAACUCCACUGCUGUUCAUCGUGAUGUCGAUGAGUGAAAAAUUAUUUUUGUUAUUUCUUGAAGCAUCUCUAAUUAGCAUUUAAUUUUAAAACGUUUUAAAAUUAAUUUUGCGUUAGUGAGGGAGUGGGGAAUAGCUUUAUAGAAUAAGAGUCACUACCGUGUCUCUUGAUUAAUACAAUAAGCAACAUUAAUUCUUUUUCAGAAUUUAGAUUUUUAAUUUUGAUUUAAAAAAUUUUUAAUUAUUCUCUUUAUUAGAGCUAUGUAUAAUAUAUAUCUUAUCACUUUUUUAAUGCUUAACAGUUAUAAUUUAUUUGUGCAAAGUUGAAAUCUAUGUACGAUAUAUCAAAAUGUUGCAGACAAAUUUAAUGUGAAAAAUAUGAAAGCAUCGGUGCGUCAUAAAACUAUAACAUCAUUAAAUCUAUACUGUUACUUCUUUUUUCUUAUGUAGUUGACAAAAUCUUUGAAUGACUUUAUACCUUCCGAUUUCCUUAUAUUUAGGAGCUUCAGCUUGGACUUUGGCAAACCAUCUCUGAAAAUUGCAAUAUUUACUCAAGUCAUGGUCCAUGAUCUGUAAGAAAAGAAAUAUUAUUUAAUUCAAUAUUAUUUUCGUUAUAAUAAUUUAUAAAAUAAUAUUUUUUACAUAUUUGUGUUUUUUACUUUAUAAUCUCUGUACAUUAUAUAUAAAAAAAGUUUUAUGAAUUAAAAAUUUUAUUUAAAUUUAACAUGCAGUGAUAUCAGGGAUGGAAAGAAAUGAGUUACAAGUAAAACAAUUACUAUUUUUAAAUAAUUUGUUAAUAACGUCAGAAUUUUCUACAACAAUAAUGGUAAUUUCAAGAUUGAAAUAUUUAUUCACUUUGGCAAUCAACUCGUUACCAUUAUGCGUUGCUAAUUGAAAAAUAGUAACUUGUAAUUAUAUUUGUUGCGUAACGUUAAAGUCAAGUGUUUCCAAUGCAUUAUCUUUGUUUGUCAUAACAAGUAAACUAACGAGUUAUUUUUUUCACUGAGUAACAUGUAAUGGUAACGAGUUAUUUUUUAAGUGACUAUUCCAACCUUGGUGUUAUCAUGAAUCGUAACAUGAUGACAAAUUUUAAUAUCAUUAUCAAAUUGUCCUUAUAAAAAGAUAAAAGUAACGGUGACUCGUUAGUUUUAAUGCGUUCUUCCCAUUUCUGACUAUUAUUACAUGUCUUUAAGUAAUUUUUUAAUUUCGUGAAACUUCUCUGUUAACAAUAAUUGUACAUAAUAAUAAUAACAUCAAUAUUUUUAAAGGAGAAAUAGCGCUGUUUUGUGUCUGAAUCUAUAGAAUAUAUUUCUUUCUCUCGUA